AACUACACCAAAGUAAGCUCAUUUUUAUUUUGAGCACAUACAUGAAUCGAGCUUUACAUGUUAUUGUUGGUUGGAUCUAACACAAUGGCACUCUAAGCAGUUAAGUGAUGAAUAAGUGACCUUCUGGAAAUUUGUUUCUUAUUUUUAAUCAUAUUGAUAGUGGAGAAAUUGGAGGAUCCCCUUAGAUAAAUUUUGCAAGGAAGGAAUGAAAUUCAUCAACUCUCUUUGGGGGUCCCUGUCAAAUUUUAUCAAUUGUCUCUCCUGUCUGUAAAGUUUCAGCUGAUUACGGUGCAAUUAUAUCAUUCCACUAGGAUGCUUGAAAAAACUUUUGGCUUGAAGCAUGUAUCUAUUAAUUUAUGAGAACUUUUAGCGCAUUGUAUACUUGCAUUCUUAUACAAUCGGGAUAAAGGCCUGGGUGAGUUGUCUAAACCAUUUUAUU
RNAcentral lists this unclassified non-coding RNA (439 nucleotides) under Hevea brasiliensis (rubber tree). The record is from RNAcentral. Lineage: Eukaryota; Viridiplantae; Streptophyta; Magnoliopsida; Malpighiales; Euphorbiaceae.